Molecule: ribosomal RNA, 277 nt
Filed under: uncultured bacterium
Lineage: Bacteria
Description: partial 16S ribosomal RNA
Rfam family: Bacterial small subunit ribosomal RNA
Source: RNAcentral
GAUUAACGCUGGCGGCGUGCAUGAAACAUGCAAGUCGAGCGCGGCACUUCGGUGUCUAGCGGCGCACGGGUGAGUAACACGUGAGCAACCUACCUUCGAGUCCCGGGAUAGCCCUGAGAAAUCAGGAUUAAUACCGGAUGCGGUCACCGUGAGGCAUCUCAUGGUGAAGAAAGGCGCAAGCCGCUCGAUGACGGGCUCGCGGCCUAUUAGCUUGUUGGUGGGGUAACGGCCUACCAAGGCGAAGAUGGGUAGCUGGUCUGAGAGGACGAUCAGCCAC